GACGAACGCUGGCGGCGUGCUUAACACAUGCAAGUCGAACGGUAAGGCCCUUCGGGGUACACGAGUGGCGAACGGGUGAGUAACACGUGGGUGAUCUGCCCUGCACUUCGGGAUAAGCCUGGGAAACUGGGUCUAAUACCGGAUAGGACCACUGCCUGCAUGGGUGGGGGUGGACAGCUUUUGCGGUGUGGGAUGGGCGCGCGGCCUAUCAGCUUGUUGGUGGGGUGAUGGCCUACCAAGGCGACGACGGGUAGCCGGCCUGAGAGGGUGACCGGCCACACUGGGACUGAGAUACGGCCCAGACUCCUACGGGAGGCAGCAGUGGGGAAUAUUGCACAAUGGGCGCAAGCCUGAUGCAGCGACGCCGCGUGAGGGACGACGGCCUUCGGGUUGUAAACCUCUUUCAGCACCGACGAAGCGCAAGUGACGGUAGGUGCAGAAGAAGGACCGGCCAACUACGUGCCAGCAGCAGCCGCCG
RNAcentral lists this ribosomal RNA (478 nucleotides) under uncultured bacterium. RNAcentral's name for it is "partial 16S ribosomal RNA". It matches the Rfam family "Bacterial small subunit ribosomal RNA", at positions 28 to 523 of the family's 1533-position model. The record is from RNAcentral.